This 496-nucleotide long non-coding RNA is filed under the name Vitis vinifera (wine grape). RNAcentral's name for it is "long non-coding RNA (VVIN_LNC005753)". Lineage: Eukaryota; Viridiplantae; Streptophyta; Magnoliopsida; Vitales; Vitaceae. The record is from RNAcentral.
UGUGCCUCCUCUCUACACUCUACACACACAACUCUACCUUGUUAGCUAUGACCCAAUAAAGCUUUGAAAUUUUGAGAGUGUAGAUCUUGUGGAAUUAUUACAUAAUCAAAUGAUAUAAAUGCUCAGAAACUUGAAAGGGAUAUGAUGAAUUUAAUGUGCAGUAGCAAAAUCCAAAGUUUUCUUACUUUUGGGUACAGUCAACUAUGAAUACAGAGUAGACCCUUUUCUCACCUCUUUGUAUUUGUGUUCUCCUUUCCUACAGAAUCACAGAAUCACAGCCCCCACCAUUUGCUCUCCCUUUCCACCAUUUAUGAGCCGCUACCUCCCUUAAAAGCACUCCUUCACUUUCUCCCAUUUUACAUAUAAUCCUUUUUAAUAUUGUUAGAAAAAAUUAUUUUCUUUUUCUAUUUAGACAUACCAAACCAACUGAAGUUUCCAUUUAACUGCUGACAAGUUAGGAAUUUUUGCAUAUAAUAUAGUAUUUAAUACAACAGGG